ACGGGAGGCAGCAGUGAGGAAUAUUGGUCAAUGGACGGGAGUCUGAACCAGCCAAGUAGCGUGAGGGAUGACGGCCAUAUGGUUGUAAACCUCUUUUGCGAGGGAAUAAAGUGCGUCACGUGUGGUGCAUUGCAUGUACCUUGCGAAUAAGGAUCGGCUAACUCCGUGCCAGCAGCCGCGGUAAUACGGAGGAUCCGAGCGUUAUCCGGAUUUAUUGGGUUUAAAGGGAGCGUAGGCGGGAAGUCAAGUCAGCUGUGAAAUGUAGUCGCUCAACGUCUGCACUGCAGUUGAAACUGGUUUUCUUGAGUGCGUAAGAGGCAGGUGGAAUUUGUCGUGUAGCGGUGAAAUGCUUAGAUAUGACGAAGAACUCCGAUUGGGAAGCCAGCUUACUGUAGCGCCACUGACGCUGAUGCUCGAAAGCGUGGGUAUCGAACAGGAUUAGAUACCCUGGUA
This 453-nucleotide ribosomal RNA is filed under the name uncultured Bacteroides sp. Its description in RNAcentral is "partial 16S ribosomal RNA". It matches the Rfam family "Bacterial small subunit ribosomal RNA", at positions 341 to 792 of the family's 1533-position model. Lineage: Bacteria; Pseudomonadati; Bacteroidota; Bacteroidia; Bacteroidales; Bacteroidaceae. The record is from RNAcentral.